UUGAAUAAACUUGGCGUGGUUGAGCUGACUCUCUCGGGAGUAUGUGCUCGCUUGUCAUCUUUAUCUUUCCACCUGUGCACUUUUUGUAGAUUUGGAUGUAACUUUCUGAGGCAACUCAGUUGGGAGGAAUGCUAUUUCGAUGGCUUUCCUUGUAUGUCCAAGUCUAUGUUUUUCAUAUACUCCAAGUAUGUAACAGAAUGUAUCACUGGGCCUUGUGCCUAUAAACCUUAUA
This 232-nucleotide unclassified non-coding RNA is filed under the name soil metagenome. RNAcentral's name for it is "partial internal transcribed spacer 1". The record is from RNAcentral.